This 215-nucleotide long non-coding RNA is filed under the name Elaeis guineensis (African oil palm). RNAcentral's name for it is "long non-coding RNA (EGUI_LNC063164)". Lineage: Eukaryota; Viridiplantae; Streptophyta; Magnoliopsida; Arecales; Arecaceae. The record is from RNAcentral.
GGAUGGAUAGCUCGGCUCUGCAUAACAAUUGAUGACUGUGGUGGUGACUUGACAAUUUGAUAUAGCCUUCGACACCGUGCCGAUCCGAGUGUUCAUAGCAAUCAUCGAUCCGAAGCUCUUACGGUAACCCACCGUAACACUAAUUAAUCACAAACGACAGCAAUGCCGCAACACGAAUCCACCACCAACAGUAAAUGAAAGCAAGCAUUAUCUUG